Long non-coding RNA from Eriocheir sinensis (Chinese mitten crab), 1231 nucleotides. RefSeq lists it as uncharacterized. The record is from RefSeq and is a predicted model, not a curated record. The transcript is spliced from 3 exons. NCBI's taxonomy places the organism in Eukaryota, Metazoa, Arthropoda, Malacostraca, Decapoda, Varunidae.
UUGCCGGUUGCCCAAGCUGCCGCCAACGCGGUGGGAAGAAAAAGGCCCAGUGUGACACCAGGUUACGGACAACCGAUAACUCGCUCCCAGAUGGGCGCACGGGCGUUGCCAGUAGCCACAACGGUUAGAGGAAAAGGGCCAGUGUGAUACUGCCCCAAGGAAGCGUGGCCGCUGACGGGGUGAGCUCCGGUGAUGACGUCAUCGGACUCCCAGCGAAUCACAAGUGUGUUUUCAGAGCUCAGCCAAUCGUAAGGCUUCAUCUAUGGCUUUAAAACGACUCGUUCUCUCUUCCUGUUCUCUUCCUUUUUCCAGGGUACAGUCGUCACAAAAAGUAUCGGUGCAUAAGGGGUGCGAUGACUACUGUAAACAUUCGAGCAUCCGCUGAUAUUGUGGGAGGGUUGGCACGCCUGACUGUGGCUUCUCUGCAAGAUUCGAACCACAAGCGAUUGUUUCAUAACUCAGAUCCGAAACAUUUCAACCCAAAUCCGAAACGUUUCAAAGACUGACAGGAUGUUAAUGUGGUUAUCUUCGUACCAUGGCCAUGCCAGUCAACAUGGAAACACCGCAGGCGACGCGAGGGGCUAUCGUAGCCCUCCAUGCUAGGGGUUUUACCAUAACUGGUAUUGCCCGUGAGCUUGGUAUUCACCGGAACACAGCAGCACGGUGGAUUCGGCGGCACGCAGACACUGGUGCUACAGAGGACAUGCCACGAGUCGGGCGCCCACGCUGCACCUCCGCAGCCGAAGACCAGGCCAUAAAUAACGCCAUCGAUGAGGACCCAUUCACACCUGCUGUCAACAUUCGCCGUGACCAGGGUCUGCAGUGCAGCACUCAGACCAUUCGGAACAGGCUUCACAACAGGAAUUUCCGAGGUCGGAGGCCAGCCACAAAGCAGAAACUAAGCGAGCGUAACAUGGAGCAGCGCAUGGAGUAUGCGCUCGAGUCUGCUGACAUGCCAGCAGACUUUUGGGAGAAUGUAGUCUUUUCUGAUGAAAAGACUUUCUACUCAGAUGGCACAUCAGCAGCACAAUAUGUUUGGCGGAAAUGUGGCACCAGAUACGACAUUGGAAAUGUAAUUGCUACCAGGAGGAGCGGGCGUGUCUCUGCUGGGUUAUUUGGAUGGAUGCAUGCCAGUGGCGUUGGAGAGUUGGCUGAUGUUGGACCGGGAUAUUUAACAGGUGAUAAGUAUGUUGAAAUCCUGGAGGAGGUCCUUCUUCCCACGGUAGAGGCA